GACGAACGCUGGCGGCGUGCUUAACACAUGCAAGUCGAACGGAUCUUCUCUGGACAGUAAUGUUUGGGGUUGGUUAGUGGCGAACGGGUGAGUAACACGUGAGAAACCUGCCCUGAAGACGGGGAUAACUGACCGAAAGGUCUGCUAAUACCCGAUGUCCUCAUGUGAUCGCAUGGGUGUGUGAGGAAAUGGAUUCCGCUUUAGGAGGGUCUCGCGGGCUAUCAGCUUGUUGGUGAGGUAAUGGCUCACCAAGGCGACGACGGCUAGCUGGUCUGAGAGGACGACCAGCCACACUGGGACUGAGACACGGCCCAGACUCCUACGGGAGGCAGCAGUGGGGAAUCUUGCGCAAUGGGCGGAAGCCUGACGCAGCAACGCCGCGUGUGGGAUGACGGCUUUCGGGUUGUAAACCACUUUCAGCAGGAACGAAAUUGACGGUACCUGCAGAAGAAGCACCGGCCAACUACGUGCCAGCAGCCGCAGUAAGAC
Molecule: ribosomal RNA, 489 nt
Filed under: uncultured bacterium
Lineage: Bacteria
Description: bacterial SSU rRNA
Rfam family: Bacterial small subunit ribosomal RNA
Source: RNAcentral